CGUUGUCCGGAAUCAUUGGGCGUAAAGAGCGUGUAGGCGGCCUGGUAAGUCCGCUGUGAAAGUCCAGGGCUCAACCCUGGAAUGCCGGUGGAAACUGUCAGGCUCGAGUCCGGAAGAGGCGAGUGGAAUUCCUGGUGUAGCGGUGAAAUGCGCAGAUAUCAGGAGGAACACCAAUGGCGAAGGCAGCUCGCUGGGACGGUACUGACGCUGAGACGCGAAAGCGUGGGGAGCAAACAGG
Molecule: ribosomal RNA, 238 nt
Filed under: uncultured bacterium
Lineage: Bacteria
Description: partial 16S ribosomal RNA
Rfam family: Bacterial small subunit ribosomal RNA
Source: RNAcentral